UAUAUAUAUAUAUAUAUACACUGCAGUGUAUGAAGGUGUAGUAUGAUAGUCUCUAUGUGAUUUUCCCUGGUCUGUUUGUAAAUGUUCCUUUAGUUUAGAGAUUUUUUGGGAAACUGUAAGCAGAAACAAUUACAUGUUUCACACUAACUGGGGUAAAUAUUUGACUUGAAACCACAGGUAGAAUACUUGACCAGGUUGAGAAAUGAUAUCAGAAAAAUAUCAUAUAACUAACUAACUACUGGGGAGAGUUGUGUAAUCGUGGUAAUCCAUCAUCAUCCUCCCCAAAGUUCCUUGAAGUACUCAUUUAUUGCUUAAUUUGUUGAAAAGGAAAAGUAACUGAGAAGCCUGCAUGUUGUACUUUAUUUAUAUUUAGGUUUGAACCAAAGUCCAUAGCCUGGCAUGCUCUACAACCAAAAAUAUUUAAAACAAAAUUCACUCCAAUUAAAAUUGAUUUUUAAAUGAAUCUGACUUUAUAGUUGAAGUAAAAACUAUUAAUACAUUGCUGAAAUAUGCAAGUGUAUUGUUACACCAGAAAUUGCCAGGUAUUCCCAAGCAAAGCAUACUAAUAUAUGAUAGAAAGUACCACAUAAGGUACUAAAAAAUAGACCGUAUGUAGCAUCCUCUCAUUAUGCUGUUGUCUUCUGCAACAAAUGACAUAAACACCAUUCUAUAAAGAUAAAAUUAAAGAUAGCCAUCCUAUGUAUACCUGGAUCUUUUAGGGAUGUGAUUAUCUGUAAACAUUUUAUUAAUAUCUUUUUUUCAGGAUCCUUGACUUCUAAUAUAGGUAACCAUAACUAUAUUUUGUAAUUAACACAUUUUAGAUGGUUAUGAUAGCUGAUAGUACAGGAAGCAUGUGAGAUAUGCUGAGAAUUACAACCAAUUACUGUAGGUGAAUUAUGAGAACAAAAACCUACUGAACUAACAAUGUUUGAUGGCUUCAGAAGUGUGGCUUUCUUUUCAGAGUUCUGGUUCACUGCGUCAUUUUAUAAAGAGGGUUGGGGUUUAGAAAUAUGGCUUUAUACUAACUCUGACCAUUUAGUUUACUGAACAAUUUUUGUAAUUGACAAAUAUUUCAUAUCUUUGAAGGAUAGUAAGGGAAAAUAUGCACUUCAUAUCUUUGAAGCCAGGAGAGAAAGGAAAAAUAUGCAGUUCAUGUCUUUGAAGCCAGAAGGUCAGAAAGGAAAAAAACAUGAACUAUUACUUUACGAUGUUUAUACCUAAUCAUUGUAUAUAUAUAUAUAUAUAUAUAUAUAUAUAUAUAUAUAUAUAUAUAUAUAUAUAUAUAUAUAUAUAUAUAUAUAUAUAUAUAUAUAUAUAUAUAUAUAUAUUGAUACAGGAUAUUUUUAGUAACUUAUUUGGGUAUCAGUGAUAUUAUGUCACUGAAACUUGUUACAUGCCAAUCAAUUCAAGUUUUUCAUGAAUACCACCUUGAUUGUUUCUAUGUCAGUGUUAUGCACAUUUGCAGAGGUAGUGCAAUUUUCACCUCAAAUUCAUACACCUACAUAUUUUAUUUCACAUUAAGCUUUAACCUGUUUGAAAAUAUAGGCAUAUUUUUUCAAGUGAAUAUAAUUAAAAUAAGAAUUUGUUGAAUAUAGGUUAUCAGCUGUCUUUUACAAUUUAUAAUAGUCCAACAGGUAUAAAGAGGUAAUGUUAGUCCUUCACUACGGUUGGGCCAAAACAGUGCCCCGCGCCGUAUCCGAGAUCGCCGCGCGCGCUGAAUUUCAAAUGUCGCUGUUGAAUAUAACAAGUUUUCAGCCAUAAAUUCAACAUAAUCAUCAUGUAUUAUAUAUGAAAACAUGCAGAAUUAAAUGGUGCACAUAAAGAAACUCACUACGGCCGGGCCAAAAGUGCGCCCUGUGCCGUAUCCAGGAUCGCCACGUGCGCCAAAUUUCAAAUGUCGCUAUUGAAUAUAACAAGUUUUCAGCCAUAAACUCAACAUAAUCAUCAUGUAUCAUAUAUGAAAACAUGCAGAAUUAAAUGAUGCACAUAAAGAAACUCACUACAGCUGGGCCAAAACAGCGCCCUACGCUGUAUCCAAGAUCGCCGCGCACGUCAAAUUUAAAAUGUCACUAUUGAAUAUAACAAGUUUUCAGCCAUAAACUCAACACAAUCAUCAUGUAUUAUAUAUGAAAACAUGCAGAAUUAAAUGGUGCACAUGGAGAAACAUAAAUUAAUUGAUAUAGAGAUAAAAUAACUCGUAUAUUGACUAAAGCGAGCCAGGACGCAAUAUGCGUGUCCUUGGAUAUGGUACGGGGCACACAAGGAUGCAGUAUACGCAUCCUCGUGUUGAAGGGGUUAAUCUAAAAUACUAAAAUCAAUGUAUCUCAUUUUUUACAAGUUUGUAUAAGGGUCUUAGGGCUUUUUAAGUAAUUUAUCUCACCAAUCACAAGAUUGUGUAUUAUUUUGUCUUGUUUUAAGUUAUCAGAUAUAUAAAAAUGUAAAGAAGUGCAAUUUUGUAUUAUAGCUAUUAUUAUUAUUAUUAUUAUUAUUAUAAUUGUUUAAUAGUUAGGUUAACUAUAGUGGACCCUUGAUUUUGGAGACUAAGGGCCGCUUUCACAGUCAUUUUAUUUGUUUUGAUCGUUACCAAAGGCAGGGAUCGCCGCUAUAGUAUUUCCACGUAAAACUGGCUGAUGAGGUAGUGGCGGCGGCGGGAUUAGCCUAGCCCCGCAACUUACCACACACUCUCAACACCUCUCGCUUCCUCUGCAGCUGCCACUACCCCAUAGGCCAGUUUCACGUGGAAAAUUAUAACAUCGAUCGCGGUUCUUAGUAACGAUCAAAACAAACAAAGUGACUGUGAAAGUGGCCCUAAAAGGUGGGAUGGAUUGUCUGGAAAGUUCAGGAGUCCAAAUGAUCUGAAUCAUGUUAGAGAAAUUACAAAUAUGAUCUUGAGCGAAAACUAAACUUCCCCACGGUGAACACCGCCACACCAACUAGCCUGGAUUGCUGAUGCCAUUUUUGUUUAUGUGGAGCUGGUUGGUACAUUCGCCAUUUGGUAAAUGGUUGUUUUGAAUCCACUGCUGGAUACAAACUUUAAAUCAAAUAGUUGCAAUGAUGGAUAAUUGUUAAUACUAAAUGAAUUAUCCAUCCCAUCACUGUCACAUACAAGAAAAACAGUACUGCGGUUGUGUGUGCUAUCUGAUGAGUCCUGUGAAUUGUGGUCAGCGAUUAGAAGAAAAAAGAUUAUGUAAGGGAUAUUUCAGGAAGUUUGGGUUCAGGAAGUCAAGGGUCUACUGUAGUAAUAAUUAUGUACCUGUUAGGUAAUUUAAUACAUCUGUGCAGAAUGGUUCCCUUCUUAUCAUUUUGUUCAAAUCUAUAAUUACAGUGACAUGGUGUAUCAUUUAUAUGUUUGGAUAUGGUACUUAUGCAUACAGUAAGCUUUAAAUUUUGGGACAAGCACUAUCAAAAACCCAUUACUGCCUGUCAGUACUUGUUUAAUUUUCAUCUAGUGAAAGUGGACUGAUAAAUGUGAAGCUUUCCAGAUGCACUGAAAAUGUACUCAGUAAAAUAUACAAGAAAAAUACAGAUGUGUUGUUCCUGUGGCAAUGAAGAUAUUUCAAAUUAAGGUACUUCAUAUGAAAUUUACAUAUGAAUAGCUAAUUCUGGGUCAGGCUUAGCCAAUAUGACUGGCUUUUGCAUUGUAGCCUAUGUUUACCAAUGAUGGUACCGGAUCUUGGUCAGAGUUGUUACUAUACUUUUAAGCAAGUUAGUGCCAAGGUGGCACAAUCAGUGAAAUGACUAUGCCAGUAGGUGACAAGCCUUACAUACAACUCAACCAUUAUGGGCUACUGUGCAUGUGUAGACUUAAUCCCCUUCUGCCAGACCCCUAUCUUCACUUAUAUGAUGGCACAUGUCACAUGGGGGAAAAUGGGGACAAAAUUCAAGUAUUGUUCAUGUAAACUGGCUUUGGAAGUACCAUAGACCCAUCUGAUGCAUAUGGGAUGGUGGGGGUGCAUGUUGACGAAGAGUAGCAGUGGACUCAGGAAAAUGAUCAAAAUGGUGUACAAAGGCUGUGGAAUAAGGUGACUACUUUCAUUCCACAUUUCCGGCACCUUUUUCUCUCCACACCUGGUUGAAUACCUCAGUCAUCCUAUCAAUUACCUUGAUCCUGACCUCCAUUCAUAUAGUAUGGGAUAUCAUCUGGUCCUGCUGCCUUACCUUUUUGCCUUUUCAUACACUCUCUGACUACCUCCUUACUGAUCCUUUCAUUCAACUCAUCUGCGUCCUUUCUCUUGUGUACUAAACAUGCUUCUCUCACAUCAGACACUUCACCUACAUCUCCAAUAUCUUUCCUAAACUCUCUGACUCUUAUUUUCUCAUUGUCUGGAACAAAGUCACCAUUUACUUUCAAGCUUUCUACAUUUUAACUGUCUGACAUCCCUUCUCUCAUGAACCUGUAGCAUUCACAACCACCUUCAAUCCAUUUUUCUCUUAGUGACUAGAUUACAUUUUCCUCACUUCAUUUUUGCAUUCAUGAUCUUCCACUUUGUCAAUUACUGUUAUUUCACAUAUGCAUUCUGAUAUUUUAACCUCUGUUUCUGUACUUUUACCUUUUUUUUCCUCCCCCAUCUGCAGUCUAUUCAGCCUUUUUCUUUCCUCUUUGAUAUCCCUGCUAUCUUAUUUUACUAAGGUUUACAUAUAUGCUCUUUUUCUUUCAUUUAUUCUUUCAAAUCCUAUAUGGUAGCCUGCAGCACUUCUCCCAUACAUUCUCUAUCAAAAUUUCAUUCAGAUCAUCCACCACCUGUAAAUUUUCAACCUUUCAGCUUCUUUCACUCCAUAUGUAUGAAAGUUGUGAUACAGCUUUUGCUUUUUUCCUUUUUUUCCUUUUUGUAUGGGUGUAGGAGGUCAAGAAAAUGUAGGUAGGGACAGGUGAGUUGUGACAGGGAAGUUAAUUGUGAUAGUACAGCUUUUUCUUUUUCAUUUUCGGGAGUGUACGUAUGGAAGUUGUGAUACAGCUUUUUCAUUUUUCAUUUUUGUCUGGGUGUUGGAGGUCAAGAAAACGUAGGUAGGGACAGGUGAGUUGUGACGGAAGUUAAUUGUGAUACAGCUUUUUCUUUUUUCCUUUUUUAUCCUUUUUGUCUGGGUGUUGGAGGUCAAGAAAGUGUGUAAUAAAGACAGCAAGGAGAGGCGCGAGUGGGAACGAGGAGUCACUAUCCGACACCAGGAGGACCAAGGCAUGAAUUAAGAGGGUCUUCAACUUUCAAAUAUUUACCCUGAAGAACCAAAAGACGACAUUACAGGAAUUCUGCAUGAUAAAAGAAUAAAAAGGAGAGAAGAAGGAAACCAAAAGGAGUGCCGUUGUGAGAAAUGCCUCCCCGUGGAAAUAAGUCGCGCUGAUGUCCACUACGCAUGCGCACUGGGGAAUAAUCGGCAGAAAAACACAUUAAUUUGCCUUAUCUUGUCCUAUUUUCACAAUAAGUGAUCUUUGUGAGGGUUGAUAUUGCCUGCCAGAAAACAACACAUUAUACCAACAGCCCAAAAGAAGCAAGAACUGAGUGAACAUCAAAGUGAGGUAAUUCUAAUGUUUCCCCCAUUCGUUUGUUAUAAAGCCGCCUCUGGAUUAAAAAUGUUUGUAUGAUGUUUGAUUGUUGUAUUAGAGUCGAAAUGGGACAAGUAAACGAUAGCGGUGAGUGAAAUAGAUAAUAAGUAAAGUUGAAUCUCUCCUACGACCCCGUUACCAAGGCGACACUCGAGACUCAACUUCUAGCGCCAAAACAAUGGUCCCACAGCCUAACCAGCCCCCUAAAACACCCCAGAAGAAGAAGAGGGAAAAGAACGUAAGCUGAAGCAGGCCAUCCAGCAGGUAUCAGAGAGUGACUUAAGCGUGAGCGAGAAGGAGAACAGUGCCUCUGUGGUGUUGUGGUUAGCAUGCCUAGCUACAAAUCUGUGGGCCUGGGUUUGAAUCCUACCCUGGGCAGUCAGCAUGCUGCCAACCUAACCGUUCAUCCUUUGUUCUGGAGUUGGUCAAUAAAUGGUCACCUAGAAAAGGCAAUCUGUGGGAACCGAGAUGCCACACUUGCCCAGUGUCUUGGAGUAAUGGGUUUUCACCUACCCCAGGCUCAAGGCCCAAUGAGAUGGAAAUAAGCACUGAGGCUACACACAGCUUGAGUGUAUACUCCCAAUUUUCCCUUCAUGGAUGACAGUGCACCUACUGGAGAAUGUGUUGAGGGAAACCAACUUUACCUUCAUGGAUGACAGUGCACCUACUGGAGAAAAUGUGGAAGAAACUUUCCUAAAAUCCACCAAGAACUUUUGUCUAAAAAUAAAAACAGGGGAGCUGGAUAGAGUGUGAAUUGGUUCAGAAGUACAACAUGAAGAUACUGCUCUUCAUUGAUCGUAUCAGUUGCAAAUUCAACUUCCAGGAGGUAGGGCAGAGUGCAUGGGCUCCUGGAGGAUUUAGAAGAGGAUAGCAGAGGCGGAUCCUUCAGGUGGCUGGAGCAGGCCAUGUGUAGGAUGUUGGCUGGGAGGCUGCAAUCCACUGAUGAUACAUCUCAACCAUAUAUCAUCAAUACUACUGAAGAAGAGACAAGUAAAGUCAUUGUAUGAACAAAACUGUUGACUCACCUGGCUGGCAGGGACCCUCACACACCCGCACAGGGAUGGGCAUGUCGCCGGGGCAGUCGCUGGGCU
Molecule: long non-coding RNA, 6630 nt
Organism: Eriocheir sinensis (Chinese mitten crab)
Lineage: Eukaryota; Metazoa; Arthropoda; Malacostraca; Decapoda; Varunidae
Exons: 5
Source: RefSeq, a predicted model, not a curated record